AGUCUUCUGUAUCCGUGCUAAGAUUUCGUCACGCACCAGACCACAAGUACUGAUGAGACUCCUAAAAUAAGUGAAGCG
This is a non-coding RNA of Schistosoma mansoni, 78 nucleotides long. The record is from Rfam. Lineage: Eukaryota; Metazoa; Platyhelminthes; Trematoda; Strigeidida; Schistosomatidae.